Molecule: long non-coding RNA, 568 nt
Filed under: Takifugu rubripes (torafugu)
Lineage: Eukaryota; Metazoa; Chordata; Actinopteri; Tetraodontiformes; Tetraodontidae
Description: lncRNA (ENSTRUG00000028611.1)
Source: RNAcentral
GUUGUGCUUUUAGCCUUAAGUCACAGACGUCUGACUGCUGAUAGAGCGUCAUUGAGGGUCUUGAUUGUCACCGUGGAGCAGACGGACUGAUCACGCACGCAGGCUGUCUGCAGGCGGCGGAGCGGUCGGAGGCAGCGCGUUUGACGCCACACACCAGCAGGAAUGUCUGAUGUCUUGGACAGGACGGCUGUGGGGAGGCCGGGCUCCAGCAAGGAGGACACAGCAGGGAAAGGUUGCGACCCCUCCUGGUCUUACCUGAGUGACAAGCUGGCAGCAGCGGCGGCGGCGGCGGCGGCCGGGCCAGGGAAAGUGAUGGAUCUGAUGAUGUCCUGGAUUGUCUUCGCACAGCGGGACGUGUCGUCUCUCUGUCACACGGCCUCAACGCCGAGAAAUCCCUCCACAUUAAUGAAACACCUGCCGAAUGAAAGUGUGAGCAGCACGGGUGGUGAUUUCUAGCAUUGUUGUCAGAUGUUGGCACAUUUUUCUCCACCCAAUAUUCAGGUUCAGCUCCGUUAACGACCCUUCAGCCGACUGAGAAGAUGAUUUAAGCUGAAGUUUUGUGUGGGAC